AUUGAACGCUGGCGGCAUGCCUUACACAUGCAAGUCGAACGGUAACGCGGGGCAACCUGGCGACGAGUGGCGAACGGGUGAGUAACGCAUCGGAACGUGCCCAGUAGUGGGGGAUAGCCCGGCGAAAGCCGGAUUAAUACCGCAUACGACCUACGGGUGAAAGGGGGGGAUCGCAAGACCUCUCGCUAUUGGAGCGGCCGAUGUCAGAUUAGGUAGUUGGUGGGGUAAAGGCCCACCAAGCCUUCGAUCUGUAGCUGGUCUGAGAGGACGACCAGCCACACUGGGACUGAGACACGGCCCAGACUCCUACGGGAGGCAGCAGUGGGGAAUUUUGGACAAUGGGCGCAAGCCUGAUCCAGCCAUGCCGCGUGCGGGAAGAAGGCCUUCGGGUUGUAAACCGCUUUUGUCAGGGAAGAAACGCUCUGGGCUAAUACCCUGGGGUAAUGACGGUACCUGAAGAAUAAGCCCCGGCUAACUUCGUGCCAGCAGCCGCCGUAA
RNAcentral lists this ribosomal RNA (498 nucleotides) under uncultured bacterium. RNAcentral describes it as "partial 16S ribosomal RNA". It matches the Rfam family "Bacterial small subunit ribosomal RNA", at positions 29 to 523 of the family's 1533-position model. The record is from RNAcentral.